AGUGAACGCUGGCGGUAGGCCUAACACAUGCAAGUCGAACGGCAGCACAGGAGAGCUUGCUCUCUAGGUGGCGAGUGGCGGACGGGUGAGGAAUACAUCGGAAUCUGCCCAGUCGUGGGGGAUAACGUAGGGAAACUUACGCUAAUACCGCAUACGACCUUCGGGUGAAAGAGGGGGAUCGCAAGACCUCUCGCGAUUGGAUGAGCCGAUGUCGGAUUAGCUAGUUAGCGGGGUAAUGGCCCACCAAGGCGACGAUCCGUAGCUGGUCUGAGAGGAUGAUCAGCCACACUGGAACUGAGACACGGUCCAGACUCCUACGGGAGGCAGCAGUGGGGAAUCUUGGCCCAUGGGCGCCAGCCUGAUCCAGCCAUACCGCGUGGGUGAAGAAGGCCUUCGGGUUGUAAAGCCCUUUUGUUGGGAAAGAAAUCUUUCAGGCUAAUACCCUGGGAGGAUGACGGUACCCACAGAAUAAGCACCGGCUCCCUUCGUG
Molecule: ribosomal RNA, 490 nt
Filed under: uncultured bacterium
Lineage: Bacteria
Description: partial 16S ribosomal RNA
Rfam family: Bacterial small subunit ribosomal RNA
Source: RNAcentral